This 484-nucleotide ribosomal RNA is filed under the name uncultured bacterium. RNAcentral describes it as "partial 16S ribosomal RNA". It matches the Rfam family "Bacterial small subunit ribosomal RNA", at positions 29 to 523 of the family's 1533-position model. The record is from RNAcentral.
AGUGAACGCUGGCGGCGUGCUUAACACAUGCAAGUCGAACGAGAACGGGUUAUAGCUUGCUAUAAUUGUCAGCUAAGUGGCGCACGGGUGAGUAAUGUAUAGGUAAUAUGCCUCUUACUAAGGGAUAACAAAUGGAAACGUUUGCUAAUACCUUAUACUCCUUAUUAACAUAAGUUAAUAAGGGAAAGAUUUAUUGGUAAGAGAUUAGCCUGUAUUGUAUCAGUUAGUUGGUGGGGUAAUGGCUUACCAAGACUAUGUCACAUAACUGGUUUGAGAGGAUGAUCAGUCACACUGGAACUGAGACACGGUCCAGACUCCUACGGGAGGAAGCAGUGGGGAAUAUUGCACAAUGGACGAAAGUCUGAUGCAGCAACGCCGCGUGGAGGAUGACACAUUUCGGUGCGUAAACUCCUUUUAUAUGAGAAGAUAAUGACGGUAUUAUAUGAAUAAGCACCGGCUAACUCCGUGCCAGCAGCCGCCGUAA